AACAGCCCAAGGGAUGCACCUCAAUGGCCCCCACCAGUGUCUGUAUCAGCAUGCCUGGACCAGCUCAGAAUAACGGCCCCCACAAAUGUCUCAGCCUCCAGAGAGGUCCCUCCUCUCACCAAGAUGCCCCCAGAGCCCACCAGUAAUUUAGAAAGACCCUCAGUAGAUCAUAAUACGAACUCCAUGAAAGCUUUUGAACACAUCACUUGGAAUAAUUUUCAGCAAUGUGUAGCAAUGUAUUUGAAAGGAUUUACGCCUAAGGCUACAAACGCUGAGCAAAGGAUCAUUAUGGGAAUUAUAUGAAGUUAUUAAGUGUAAAGAUCUCCGACAAGUGCCUGGAAUAGUAUCUGCGGCAUCACCAUUGGAAGAAGAGAAAUAAAUGAAAAGCAAACUAUAUUUAGUUCAUUUGUUAGUGUGGUGGUUUUUGUUUGCUUAAAAUAUGCCCAAACUCAUAGACAACUUUGUGCUGUUACUAUGAUAUAGUAUUCAACUGCUAACAACUCAUAUACACAUACACAGUCACACACAGACACGCACACACACGUUCAUCAUUCUUCUGAUUGAAUCUUAGGAAAAACCAGCCAAAAAUGUAAUAGCCUUAUUAUUUAGGACUAUCCUUGUCUCCAGUAAACAAGCCAUGGGCAUAGAGAGACAGAGCACAAUAAGAAGACCAAGUUUUGGACUGUGCGGUAUAUCUUUUGGUUGCUUAAAUCAUGCUUUGAAAU
This 725-nucleotide long non-coding RNA is filed under the name Equus caballus (horse). RNAcentral describes it as "lncRNA (ENSECAG00000059211.1)". The record is from RNAcentral. Lineage: Eukaryota; Metazoa; Chordata; Mammalia; Perissodactyla; Equidae.